GGAGAGGUGGCCGAGCGGUUUAAGGCAGCGGUCUUGAAAACCGCCGGGGUUAACAGCCUCCGUGGGUUCGAAUCCCACCCUCUCCG
RNAcentral lists this transfer RNA (86 nucleotides) under Elusimicrobiota bacterium. Its description in RNAcentral is "Elusimicrobia bacterium tRNA-Ser". It matches the Rfam family "tRNA". Rfam says of the family: Transfer RNA (tRNA) molecules are approximately 80 nucleotides in length. Their secondary structure includes four short double-helical elements and three loops (D, anti-codon, and T loops). The record is from RNAcentral. Lineage: Bacteria; Pseudomonadati; Elusimicrobiota.